GGCACCACCUGAUCCCUUCCCGAACUCAGAAGUGAAACAUCGUUGCGCCAAUGGUAGUGUGGUUCGCCCAUGUGAGAGUAGGUCAUCGUCAGCU
RNAcentral lists this ribosomal RNA (94 nucleotides) under Psychrobacter pacificensis. Lineage: Bacteria; Pseudomonadati; Pseudomonadota; Gammaproteobacteria; Moraxellales; Moraxellaceae. The record is from RNAcentral.